UAAAACCCUUUAAAAUCUCUUG
Molecule: non-coding RNA, 22 nt
Filed under: Arabidopsis thaliana (thale cress)
Lineage: Eukaryota; Viridiplantae; Streptophyta; Magnoliopsida; Brassicales; Brassicaceae
Source: RNAcentral